This 301-nucleotide ribosomal RNA is filed under the name uncultured bacterium. Its description in RNAcentral is "partial 16S ribosomal RNA". It matches the Rfam family "Bacterial small subunit ribosomal RNA", at positions 509 to 809 of the family's 1533-position model. The record is from RNAcentral.
CAGUAGCCGCGGUAAUACGAAGGGGGCUAGCGUUGCUCGGAAUGACUGGGCGUAAAGGGCGCGUAGGCGGCACACACAGUCAGGCGUGAAAUUCCUGGGCUUAACCUGGGGGCUGCGUUUGAUACAUGUGAGCUAGAGGAUGGAAGAGGCUCGUGGAAUUCCCAGUGUAGAGGUGAAAUUCGUAGAUAUUGGGAAGAACACCGGUGGCGAAGGCGGCGAGCUGGUCCAUUACUGACGCUGAGGCGCGAAAGCGUGGGGAGCAAACAGGAUUAGAUACCCGGGUAGUCCCUGUCUCUUAUAA